RNAcentral lists this ribosomal RNA (442 nucleotides) under uncultured bacterium. RNAcentral's name for it is "partial 16S ribosomal RNA". It matches the Rfam family "Bacterial small subunit ribosomal RNA", at positions 338 to 795 of the family's 1533-position model. The record is from RNAcentral.
CCUACGGGAGGCAGCAGUAGGGAAUUUUUCACAAUGGGCGAAAGCCUGAUGGAGCAACGCCGCGUGCAGGAUGAAGGCCUUCGGGUUGUAAACUGCUUUUAUAAGCGAGAAAUAUGAUGGUAACUUAUGAAUAAGGAUCGGCUAACUACGUGCCAGCAGCCGUGGUCAUACGUAGGAUCCGAGCAUUAUCCGGAGUGACUGGGUGUAAAGAGUUGCGUAGGUGGGAUAAUAAGUAGCUAGUGAAAUCUGGUGGCUCAACCAUUCAGACUAUUAGCUAAACUGUUAAGCUCGAGACCGUUAGGGGUAACUGGAAUUUCUAGUGUAGGAGUGAAAUCCGUAGAUAUUAGAAGGAACACCAAUAGCGUAGGCAGGUUGCUGGGACGGUUCUGACACUAAGGCACGAAAGCGUAGGGAGCAAACGGGAUUAGAUACCCUGGUAGUC